CAGCAGCCGCGGGAAUACAGAGGGUGCGAGCGUUAAUCGGAUUUACUGGGCGUAAAGCGUGCGUAGGCGGCUUCUUAAGUCGGAUGUGAAAUCCCUGAGCUUAACUUAGGAAUUGCAUUCGAUACUGGGAAGCUAGAGUAUGGGAGAGGAUGGUAGAAUUCCAGGUGUAGCGGUGAAAUGCGUAGAGAUCUGGAGGAAUACCGAUGGCGAAGGCAGCCAUCUGGCCUAAUACUGACGCUGAGGUACGAAAGCAUGGGGAGCAAACAGGAUUAGAUACCCCGGUAGUUCCUGUCUCUUAUAA
Molecule: ribosomal RNA, 301 nt
Filed under: uncultured bacterium
Lineage: Bacteria
Description: partial 16S ribosomal RNA
Rfam family: Bacterial small subunit ribosomal RNA
Source: RNAcentral